UAUACAUGACUUUCCAAGUAUCGGUGCCGAA
RNAcentral lists this non-coding RNA (31 nucleotides) under Mus musculus (house mouse). The record is from RNAcentral. Lineage: Eukaryota; Metazoa; Chordata; Mammalia; Rodentia; Muridae.